UUAAUGGAACAUGAAGAAACGGGUUGCUUGGUGUGAGUGAAAUGACUGAAUCCAGCUUUCUGUUUCUUGACUUGUGUGCAAGACAGAAUAAAACUCAGACAGCAGAUGUGUAAUGGGCUUCCCUUCAAAUACCUGACCAUUCUUGGAUCUGUUGGAAUGUGCUAUUUGUUGUGGGCUAUGGGGCAGGAGGUGGGGAGAACAAGAUGGAAGAGUUGGACUCAGUCCAGUCCACGAUGGGUGGAUAGUGACACUGUCAUGUGUGCCCCUCUGACGGUGAAGUGAAAGAAAGCCCACCUGGAACUUCUCAUGACAACAUCAAUAAACUGUCAAAGCACAAAGGAUUUGGAGAUUCAAGCUCCUAACCUCAAGAGAACUUCAGAACUAGAUGUGUUUUAUCAAUCAUAUAGAGAAAACUUUUCCUACCUCUUCUACGUUCUUCACAAGAAUCUAGCUAGCUCUCUUGCUGCAGCACAUUGUGCAAGUUCAUCAUGAAGCACUAACGGAAAGUUCCUUUCAGAGUCUGAGUAUUUGGAGGAUUUUUACCCAUCACAAAGCUUGGCUGAUCUUCACUCUUUCAGCUUCUGCUUCCUUUACCCUGAGUGCCAGCGGAGGAUGGAGAAUGGGGGCUGUGGUCAGUCCAUAACAGUUCCUCUCUGCCAUUCUUUCCUCCUCAUACUUCUCCCUUGCUCCAGAGGAGGUUCUGCCAUAGGCAGAAAAUCAAGAUAAGUCUAUUCCAGAAUGGGUCUCCAAGGGCCACAGUUUUCUUUUUGACAAAAAUAAUGAGUGCAAUCUCACAACCUCUUUGACCUCCCCAAACAGUCUCUGCUGUGGACCCGCCACCCAGGUUCUUCGUUUAUGUGUUAGAAAUAAUUUUUUUAGUAAUAGUACAUGUGGACACUCAGGGACAUUGGCAGCCCUGUUGUGUACCUCUUGCUCCACCAGCGUAAGGCCAAGGAAUCCCAUGUCAGAUCCAGCCUCUUCACCAGCCCAUGCCCAGUCCUGGCCCUAGUGAGAUAUGGACUGAUGCUGCAGCAUGUCUUGUCUCUGGCCCUAGCCCUGUCUCCUUAUGAGAUGCUGGCCCUAGUACCAGCCUGUCCCCUCAUAGUGCCUGGGGCUGCUGGUGGACCACACUAACACCCCCAGCUCUGCCUAUUCUGCUCAGGGACAGAGGGUAAGGGCGCACCCUGCCUGCACUCAGGUCACCCCAGCUCUUCUGCUGGAGUCAGCCCCUGUCAUGAUACCUGGUAGUAUGAAUGCAAAAGUACUUCUUUCCCCCCAUUUUAAAUUUGUAUUCUCCUUUCUACAUCAAAAACUCUGGAAGUUUAUUUUGCAUAUUCAACACCCAAACACACAAAUUCUGCUGUUUUCAAAGGCACGCUGUACAGGGCUGCAACCAAAGUUUUUGUAUGAAUUGUCAUAUGCCUGAGACUUUAAUGAUGUUUUUGAUCUUCUCCUUAGUUGCUUUCCUUUGUAAAUCAUCCAUCAAAAGUUAUGUUUUUGUACGGGAGAGUAACAAACUAUGUUACUAUAUUUGCAUGAUAGACAUUUAAUUGUAAUUAAAUGUAAUUUACAUUACAAUUGCAAAAUUGAAUAAAUAAACAUUAUGAUUCUACCAACA
Molecule: long non-coding RNA, 1618 nt
Organism: Anas platyrhynchos (mallard)
Lineage: Eukaryota; Metazoa; Chordata; Aves; Anseriformes; Anatidae
Source: RefSeq, a predicted model, not a curated record